This 220-nucleotide long non-coding RNA is filed under the name Mytilus galloprovincialis (Mediterranean mussel). Lineage: Eukaryota; Metazoa; Mollusca; Bivalvia; Mytilida; Mytilidae. The record is from RNAcentral.
AUAAAUUUUACCGCAAUACACCAAACUAUUAAACAAUUUGGUAUUCUAUAAGGUCAAAAUAAUUUAAAAGAUAGUCUGAACAGAAAAUUCUAGCUUUUUAUUCCUUAAUUAAAUCCUUAAAAUUGACAGAAAUGAGCCAAGCUACCAGUUUGUUGAGACAUGUUUUGAGUGCCCGCAAAAGAAAUAUCCUACAAACCUAUAAAACUGAUAGCAAAACUUU